CUCAGACUAAGCAAGUUAGCAGUUUUGGGUGCAGUUCAUGGUGUUUAUCUAAGUCUGUAAAAUAGAGUUCGAAGCCUCUUGCAUCCUGUUGGCUGAAGAGACUCUGCACGAGCGCUGUGGAACCACAGACCUGCUCAGCUUAUCCUGAUUCAAGUGGUCUGAACGCUUGGGGUCAGCGCCGUGUGUCACUGGUGACUGAUUUUUGCCCCCGUUUAUGACCUGGGACCUUCAGUGGAUGGUAUUUUGAGAAUCUAAAAAGAUCCUUUAAAAUCGUGAGACUCUAAGAAGCUGGCUGCCAUCAGUUCACUGUCAGUGGUCAGAGAAUUUUAUUUUAAAAAAUACAGGGAAUUCCCUGGCAGUCCAGUGGUUAGGAAUUUGAGCGCCCACUGCAGGAGGUAGGGGUUUGAUCUUUGGCCAGGGAACUAAGAUCCUAUAUGCCAUGUGGUGCAGCCAGAAAAUUUUGAAAACUUUUUAAAAAUUAAAAAAAUACAAACUUGUGACUGCCCUAGGGUUUAGUACAGUGUUUGACCGUUUUGUCCAGAACGCUGCCCUGCCCUCCCUCCCCCAGGUGGUUUCUCGUCUGUUUUGUUUGCCUGUGCUUCAGGACGUGUGGAAUCUCGGUCCCCUGACCAGGGAGCCAGCGUGCACCGCCUGCAUUGGAUGCGCAGAGUCUUAACCACCGGACCUCCAGGUCCCUCCCGUCCAGGUUUAAAGCAUUCCUGGGCAAGCUUUUCUUUUCGAGAGACUCGGGGAUUGGGCCAAGGAACGUCCUCACUUGGGUGGUGGCGUGCCGGCCAUGUGGAGCUUGUGGUGUGCGCCGACAAGCAGGGCCUCUGACAUCAGACCCUUGGAGCCGCCUGGGCUGUGCCGGACAGUUUGCUGUGUGAUUUGGAGGAGGAAAAGGCACUGCUUCACACCUCAGAGCUUUUCUCAUCUGCAAAAUAGCCCCGUGAAAUCACCUCUGCUUUUCAUUUUUUGACGACACAUUCACAUUCUAUAUAGGUGAAAAACAAAGCAAACAACAGCCACAGAAUCAAAAGUACUGAAGAAGGACAUAUUGUUUCAACAGCUUGGCAAGCAUCCAUAAACUUAUCUAUGCCUACAUUCAGAAUUUGAGUUCACAUUUGAUGCUUGUACUCAGGAAGAUGCCUGUGUUUAUGAAAAAGUCACAGUUAAAUAAAACCAUGAAGUCCAGGCAGGGAGACUUGUUCUUGAACAAGUGAGUGCUGUCUUUCUAAUUGUGUUCUAUUUGUUCAGUAAACUAAAGUUUUGUGUGUGUGUUUUAAAGUUUCUUUUUAUUAAGUGAGAGUUAUUCUGUUAUAUACUUGGAUGUAAAACAUAUUUCAGUUAGUUUCACAUUUUCAUUUGAAACUUGUGAAAUGCUUAAGUUAUUUAAUAAUUUAUAAUACUUCAAGAGAAGUAUCACAGUGCAUUAUGGAAGCAUCAUAUAACCUAAGAUAGUUUUAUGAAAUGUGUUUUUUCAUAUUUUCAGAUUAAGCAUAUUUGGAGGUUCCCCAUCAAUUUAUCUUUGAACUUCAGUGAAUAAAAUAUAAAAUUUUCCUUUCAUAUUCUCCAAUAUGAAAAAGCAUUCAUUUAGCAUAUCAUUGUGGUUUAGGCUUCCAAACGCCUUAUAGGUUAAAUUCCUAAUUUAUAGUUUUUUAAUUUAUUGCUUGUUUCUUUUGUUUGAUAGUCCUGUGUUUGUAUCUUUAUAUUACACACUUUCCUGAUUAUAUAGUAAUAUAAUUUGGGCUAUCAGCUUUGCCUCACUUCAGCACUUAGAAAAAGCUCUAUGUGAAAGUUGAGUUGUAGUUGAGUCAAAAAAAUUCUUUUCACUUGAUCUUGUUUUAGUUAAUACUAUAAAGCAUUCUGUUAUACUGAGCUGUCUCCCACCUUUUAGAUAAUACAUGCCUUGAUUUCUUUAAAAACUCUACAUUUAUUAGAAUUUUUUCUGAUGAACAUGUGCUUAUAAGUUUUAAAUGUUGCAGAAUCUGGGUAAAUGUUAAAAUGUUCCCAUUUUCCCCCAUUGUUUUCCAGUUGUCAUUUUUCAUUUCAUUGAUUGAUAGAGAACAUAAUACAGUUGGAUUUUUUAUAAUAUUUGAUAUGUUCUGAAAUUAAACUCCAGCUAUUUUCUAUCAAGUUUAAAGAUUUGUUAUCUCUCCUCAUGAUUAUUUGCUAUGCAUUUGGCUUAAAUUAUUUAGCUUCCUGUUUCAUUACAUCUUUCUCAUCUCAUCAGUUCCCAAUAGUAGGAGUCCAUGCUUCCAAACAGAUGUCUCCUAUAGGCUUCAGUAGUUGAAAACUGUCACUUACAGUAGGGAAUCUGAUACACAUGAGUUUGCCUUUUAGGUCUAUUCGUUUCAGUUGUUUUUUUUUUUUUUUUUAAAGCAGUUUUACCUUUUGAUAAAGGUAAAGUAUUAUUCAGUGGAAAAUAUUAUGCACAAUUAUAAUAAGCAAUUAAAUGAUCUCUUUUCAUUGUUAAUGGCUUGAUAUUAAGGUUUGUUUGUUUUUAAACUAAAGAGAUGAUAGUAUCAAAUUCUGGCUUUUUCUGGCUUUCAAUGAAAGGUGAGAUUUAGUUUGUUUUGUUUUUAACUUUUAAGUUACCAGUGCAUUAUGAAACCAGUAGCAGUUUCACUUUUAGGAUUUUUAUAUCUAUAUAAAUUAGGAUUAUUUAUUAAUAUUAGCAUUAACUUCCUUUAACUUUAUGGAAGAGAACCUGUCCUGAGGAUGUUUGUAUAAUUUUAUGCAUAUUAUUCCUGUGAGACUGAGUAAAACUGUUCCAUCAAUUAAAAUCUUAGUAGUAGAACCUGUUCAUCUACUUAGCUGUCUUUCUUGGGAUUAACCAGAUGCAAUUAUAACUGGCUUUUAAAAGUUCCAACCUUUUUUCCUUGCUUAUUUCAAAGUGAUUCUUUAGAACUGUUAAGCUAUAUGGUCAGUGUUUGUCCAUAAGUGCUGUCUAAAGCUACUUAAAUAUAGGAUUGGGGCUAUUUGUUUUGUUUUUUUUAAGUAGUUUGAAAAAAUUUCUUUGCUACUUGUUCUUCAUGAAACUUUUAUAGGAGUUCAAAUUCCCUGGAAAAAUAAGGGUUUUGUAAGAUUUCUUUGACUGAAGAAGUAUAAAGGUUGCUAAAGGUAUAUAGUUGUCUUAAUGUUGACAUAAAUUUCCCUUAUUCUGUAGAUAUUUCUGAAAAUUAUUGUUUUAGAUAUCCUAUUUAUGUUUAAUAAUCAUUGUUUAAAAUUUUGUAGUAACAUAGUCAGGAGCACAAAAAAAUACCAUAUUAACCAGAAUACUGGGUUAUUUCAAGUAAAGGUAUGACUUUGAAAGAGAAGCAGAGUUUGGGAAAUAGGUACUGGUAAAUCCUGCAUUCUGAGAUAACUUUCUAAAUAUGUGGCCAUUCUGUAUUAUUUAGACUAAACGUGAAGAGUGUAUAGAAAUACUCUCUUCACAGUCACAUACCACUGGCUGCCUUUUUCUUACACCCUGCAGUAUUAAUAAUGGUGAUCCUUCCAAGCUCCUGUGUUUUUACACACAAAUAUGUUGGUGAUAUAUGUGGGAUUUCUUAUACCAUGAAAUCAUACCAUAUCUUGUACUUUUUUCCAUGCUUUGGAAAACUUUCCAUAUCUCUGUCUCAAGUAUUAUUUUUUUUUUAGUUCCAUAUAUAAAUAUGCCAGACUCCCUGUUGGUGGAUGCAAAGGUUGCUCCAGUGCUUCACUGUUGGAAGCUGUCCUGCAAAAUGCACAGUAUUGUGACGCAUGUUCUGUGUGAUUAUUUCUGCAAGACCAUUUGUAAAGGUGUAAUUGCUGUGUCAAGGAACACAUCUAUUUGAAAUACUUAAGGGUACUGCAGAAUUGUUCUCCCAGGAGUCUGUGCCAAGUUACCCUUGGGCUGGUAGUAUAAAAGAGUGCCUGUUCCCUCACACGCUUGCCCCCGGGGCAUUACCAUUCUUGUUCGUUUUUGCUGAUCUGAUAGCUGCAAAAAAGUACCUCUUUAUUUUCAUUUCCUUGUCUAAGAGCAAAGUUAAUAUCUUUUCACAUUUCUGUUGGUUUUCUUUCUUUGAUUUUUAUUUGUUUAAUUGUUCAUCCCCUUAGCCUGUAUUUCUUUUGAUUUGUUAAUUUGUUCUCAUUGUUUUCUAGGAACGCUAUAUAUUUUGGAUUGGGUUACUAUAUGUGUUACAAGUACUUCCUCCUAAUCUGUCAUGUGUUUUUUAAAACUUUAUUUUAAACCAUUACGUAAUCUUUGGUAACUUCUGGGUUUUGUUGUCUUAGAAAGGCCUGUUGCACCCUCAAUAUUAUAAAUGCAUUAUGCUGAAUACAUUAUCCUUUAAUCUUUUGAAACUGUAUUUCAUCAAAGCUAAGAAAUACCAUUGUUGAUUUCAUGUCCCAGUAUUUUAUAUACUGAGAGGGGACCAAAUCUGCACAGAGUAUUUUCUAAUCAUUUCACAUUUUAUUUAUAGUUAACGUAAAGAUUUCUUCUAAGACAUUUAUUCCGAUCAGUUUUUUUAAACUCUUAUAAAAAGGAACGUCUGUUCUGUCAGUUCUUUAUCUUUGUAUCAGCAAUCCUCAGACCUUGGGUGUUCCCCUCAAUUUGUCCCUUAUUUUAAUACAGCUUUCAUUAUUACUGUCUGAGUAUUCAUCUGACAGUAAUAAUGUAUAUGGAACACCUUUUAUGAUACAAGUAUUUUAUUAGAUACUUUCAUAAUGUUCUCAUCUAACCCUUGCAGCAGCCCUUUAAGUGUUAUUAGUGUACUUUACAGUUGAGGAAACUGGGACUCAGAAAAGUUAAGUUGCUUGUAAUCACAAACAGUUAAAGUGAUGGAGAUUCCUGAGCUCAGAGCAAGCACCCUGGGUACCGUACGUAAGUGGUUCAGAGAUGCAGGCCGUGGGUCUGAGACAUUUGUAGAGAUUGGAAAACUAAAUACAUGGGAGAAAUUGACCCUCAGGUAUACAGUCAGUCUAGAAUGGAGCACGUAGAGUGUGUGAUUAAAUGUGUGAUUCUAAUUUUCAUACCUUUCAGAACCGUGCCUUCAGAUAAAUGUUCACUUCUGCCCUUCUCUUAUUAAUAAACCUGCUGAUACUCCGGCUCUUGUUGGUCUUCAUAUUGUUAUAGUUCUCGAAUCAGUAGGAUUUAUAACUGGAUCUUCGCUUUAAUGUGGGAAGUACCAGCACUGCUGCAUAACCACUCUCUCCAUCUAUAUGUUAAACCUAAACCAGGACAGGAGAUGAGAAUUGUACACUAGCAUGAACAAAGUCAUUCCAUUUGAACCACAGUCAGUCUCAGUAGUCAUCCUCCUUGAACCUUUAAAGUAUAUUUUUAAAACUGCAUACAUAAUAAGAAUGGCAGUUUUAUUGUGACCCUUGGCAAAGUUUUAUUAUGACCCUAAGGAAGUUAUUUAAGCUUUUUAUUUCCACACAAGCAUUUAAAGUUUUCGUUUCAAACUGAACAAACAGAAUGAACAGUCCGUACUGUUUGCUUGUGUAUAAAAAAUGAUUGAACAGAUCCCAGGCAUCUUGGACAGGGCAGGUAGAAGAGUCCCAGGGCUCACGUUAGGAACGUGAACUCAAGUGCCUAGAAAACCUGCUGUCGCCACGCCAUACAGGGAUUUGUGGCUGUACAGGCUGGAGGCAAAGCUCUGGGUAGACAGAGUGCAAGUCUCUUCUCGAGUCCUGUGGCUAUCUGGGGUUUAAUCCAUGCCUUGCAGUUACUUCUGUGUGUAACAGGUUGAGUGUGUGAGAGGCAGUGCUCAUAAAAGUUGGCAAACCUGUUUUACUUGUUUCUCAACCUUUGCAGAUCAUUGCUUAUGAAACACUGGUAUUUACAGUAAAUAUCUUGUUUUAGAUGUAGGCCAGCCCCAUCCAACCGUUUGUCCUUCAACAGCUUCGCCCUUUGGUAAGUUGGCACGUGGUUUGAGGUGGCCUUUGGUGAUGGGAAAAGGGAAAAGCUAAAGGGAAAGGCAGGAAGAAAGUAACAUUUCCAGGAAAACGUGAUCAUACUGAGGAUGGGAGAGCCCUUGAGAGGAAAAAGGGUUAGCUCUGUCUGUGUCAUGUGACCUUUGGCUAACUCCUGCAGCAUCCUGACUUCAUAGCCGUUUGUGUAAAUGGGAACAUUUGGAUGUAUACACCCCCGUAUCCCUGUGACUCCAUCCGGUGACCUGUUUCACUGUGCGUUCUUGUGUAUCAGCUCACAGUGCUAAUAUUUAGCAGAUUGAGUCCUAGAUUAAACCACCUGAAUUCAUCUGUAAAACGGGGUUACCUGUCUCCUAAAUGGUAGUGGUAAUUUAAUUAGAUAAUCCACAUAGUCCCUUAGCGCACAGUAUCUGGCCCCUACUAAGCCCUCAGGAAAUAACUCGAUCUUCAAAACUCUGUUCAAAUGUCCUAAUGUUACCUGAAUCUUGGGCCUCCCAGGUGAAAGGGGGGAGAGUUCUCAUCAUGCCGUAAACAUGUCUUCCGCUGUCUUCUCGUUUAGCACAUUAUGGUGCUAGUAGUGCUAUUUCGCACUGGUACUAAAAUUAUCACCAGUUUAUCUACGUGUGUAGUGUUCCACUUAGAUUAUGAGCCCCUUGAGGACAGAAACAAGCUUAUUUGUCUUCAUAAAUUCAAUGUCUGGCAUGAUAAAUUUUGUUGGAGGGUAAAAAGUUUAUUCCUGUUUAAAUAAGGUCCCCUCCUCUCUCAGAAGAAGAUAAUGUUGGAACAAAGGUGUCCAGUAGAAAUAUUCUCAAAAAUCCUGGGCAUGGGGACUUCCUUGGUGGUCCAAGGGUUAAGACUCUAUGCUUCCAGUGCAGGGGGCUUGGGUUCAAUCCCUGCUCAGGGAAUUAAAGAGUUCCCAUGCCACAACUAAAGUUCUCACAUGCUGCUACUAAGACCCAGCACAGCAAAAUUAAAAAAAAAAAAAAAAAAAAAAAGUUGGGCGUAUUCUCCAAACACCUUUCUUCUUUCUUUCUUUCUUUCUUUUUUUAAGUUAUUUAAUUGCCGCUCUACUCCCAAGGAUUUAAUCAGUUUUUUCACUUUGAUUCUUCACAGUGUUUUCGUUAUUAAAAAACUGAGGUAAGUAAAUGACUGCCUGGUGAAGAAUAAAGCAUCACAAUGGCAGCACCAAAGAGUUGCUCCUGGAAUCAAGGCCCUGGGUUCACAUUACAGCAUCUGCUACUUUCUCGCCAGAUGACAGUGAUCGAAUUAUUGUGUCUGUCUGACUCUACAAAGUGGGCAUGCUUCAGUGACUUGUAACGGUAGAAACAUAGACUCCAGGCUGUGCAGGGCUAGAGUCCUUGGGUGGUACUCUGGUCUCUCAAGUCUUUUCUAAGUUGUUAUAACCUAAUCGGAGGUGAUAUUCAUGUAGUGCCAACCCUGGACCUGCUUACUAGAACACACUCAAUUACUUCAGGAGUGGAGUUAGUUCAGUUCAUACCAUACCCUUGGGGAAAAAAAAAAAAGCCUAUUUAUUUUACCUAAUACACAAUUUUUUAUUAUUAAAGGUGUUUAAUUGUACCCUUGGUUCCAUGUUGGAAAACAGAACUAAGAUGUAAGUGUUGCUCAAGUAAUUAUUCUUCCAUCAUGCCAGUGUUGUAGGGAAGAAUGAACAGCAAAGGCAUACCUGAGAAUUAAGUUGUACAAUUAAAGGUUAAUAUUUUCUCAACACAAACAUACGGGUCUCUCCAUCCUGUAACUCUUACAGUUAAUUGUGGUAACUUGAGACACACACGAAACAUUAAAGCCGACUAGGUCUUUGUUGAUUGCAUGUUCCUUAGAAAAGAUGGAAGUGUAGGGAAAAUUAUUCUUAGUACUGCUGAUACAAAUAAAGCUAUUAGGUGCCUUUCAGCAUAGUGCAUAUGGUAUCUGAACCUUCGUCACCUAUGAAAUUUUUGUCCAAAUCACUUUGCAGUUGCCGUGUUUUAAAGGAACCCCUUAAAAUCCCCGACUGGUAAGUUCUCCUUUCCUUGUUUUACUGGUUUUGAACCUCAUACUGUUUUACUAAAUAAACAUUUUCUCCUAACA
This is a long non-coding RNA of Capra hircus (goat), 7980 nucleotides long. RefSeq lists it as uncharacterized. The record is from RefSeq and is a predicted model, not a curated record. NCBI's taxonomy places the organism in Eukaryota, Metazoa, Chordata, Mammalia, Artiodactyla, Bovidae. The transcript has 3 exons.